UUAGGUUCACAUUGUCAAACCCAUGUGCAUGGCUGUUCACACCUAUUUCCCAAGAGGCAAUCUGAACAUCGACAAAAGCCAUGAGUUGGGAUGCCAAUCAAUUAAUAAUGAAUGCAAUCCCUCAAUCUCUCUGGUCGCCAUACAUGAAUCUAAUGGUUUAAUUCUCCAUUUCAGAAAUAUUGAACACCAUUUCUAACUUGGAACC
This 205-nucleotide long non-coding RNA is filed under the name Carica papaya (papaya). Its description in RNAcentral is "long non-coding RNA (CPAP_LNC002948)". Lineage: Eukaryota; Viridiplantae; Streptophyta; Magnoliopsida; Brassicales; Caricaceae. The record is from RNAcentral.